UAACAUAAUCAUCCCCUCAUUAGCCACAUAAACAUGACAUUGGUAAUGAUAACAGCAAACAUUUAUAUAAUGCAUCUCUUUUUGCUUCCCCUGCCCAUCCUCUCAAGUGUUCAGGAAUCAGCAAACAGAUAGCAGAGUUCAAAUCAUUGGUAGAAAGUUGAUCUUUUGAGUUAACCAUUUCUAUCAUCAUGCCUUGGUCAGUCACCUCACAGAGAAGUUGAUUAUAUUUUUCAGAACUCCAAGAACCUUCUAUGCCCUCAGUCUUUGUCAUGAAAAAUGGGACCAAUGUUGCAUGUCUGGUGAAGGACUUCUACCCCAAGACUGUGGAUAUACAUCUCGAUCCAGAUGACAACACAAAAGAAGGAAUGGUCACCAUUGCCAAUGGGAAGUUCAGCGCUAUCAAGCUUGGCCAAUAUAAGAAUGAUUUGGAACAAAUUAACUGUACAGUUCGGCAUAACAAUAAAACCAUGGUGGCUUCUUACAAAAGGCCCUUUGAGAAGAGUUCAGACCUAAAGAAAGAUAGUGAUCAGGAAUUAUCUUCUCCAAAGUGCCAUAAACCCACAGUGCAAAUUGAGAAACUGAACUUGCUGUCCAUCACCCUGCUGGGGCUUCGUGUGCUGCUCGCCAAGAGCAUUGCUGUCAAUUUAUUCUUGACUAUCAAGUGUUUUUUACUGUCAGGUUCAUCUACCCCAAAGGAAUCAGAGAUAUCAAGGACUCACUGAGAUGUUUUCCCUUGGCUUCCUCUUGCUGUGAUGUAAAUGACUUUCUGGGUGUCUAUUUUGACCAGAAGGUUUUUUUCUUAAGUGCUUUUGCUUUGGAAAAAUUAGACCCAAUUCUUUUCAAAGCCAGGUGGAAAGACAGCCCUGGAGGAGGUGGCUGAUCAUUCCAAUUCUUUGUAUUAAAAUGUUUCUGUAAUUUUGAAAAGAAAAAUGAAAUCAUCUCAUCACUUUGACUGUCAGACUUAAACAUCUGAAAAAAGUAUUUCCUCUCCCUUCUGAUUUCUGCUACCUCCAGAAUUUGAACCAAGGGAAGAAAAAAAAAAGACUCAGUUUUGUCCCAAAGCCCACAUUUAUUCAUUUUAAUGUUCUAUCUUUUCUGUGCACAUGGUAGGAGCCACAAAAGAGAUAAUGUCAGAAACAUUUUUUCUAGAACCCUGGAACUAGAAAAGAUCUCAGAGAUCAUUUCAACCAAUGUCUGCUUGCAGCAUGAAUUCAAUAUCCCUAAGAAAUAACUGUUUAGCCUCUAUUAGUCAUCUAGCGAUGAGGAGCUCAUUACUUCACCAGGUAGCUCGUUAGAGGCAUCAUGGAAUAAUGGAAGGGAAACAAGAAUAUUAAGGCACAGAAAGAACUGGAUUAGAAUUCUGACUCAGAUACUUAACUAGCUAUGUGACCCUGUGCAAAAGUCACAUUUAACUUAUUUAGUCUUAAGUAUCUUCAGUAAAAUGAUGGAGUUGUACUCAGUAACCUCCAAGGGCCCUUCCUUUUUUCUAUUAUUACUUAAUUUUUGUAUACCCCUAAUAAUUAAGAAGUGUUUAUAAUAAACUAAAAUCUGCUUCACUUAACCCUUCACCCACUGCUCCCCACAGCUCUUUCUAAAGGGGCUGAAAAAAUUUAAUCUCAUCUCUUUUCAAUAUAACAGCCCUUCAAAUAGUUUAAUAUACUUAUAGUUCCCCUUGCCUCCAAGUUUCUUCUUCUCUAUGAUAAAUACCCUCAAUUCCUUCAAUUAAUUUUUGUAUGGUCUAUUUUAUAGUCUACUUGUAUUUUGCAGCUUUCCUUAUUUUCUCUGAGUUUAAUAUAGUACUUAGGAUAAAUAUUUUUUCAUAUUUAAUAAAUGCUGGUUGACUUGA
Non-coding RNA from Antechinus flavipes (yellow-footed antechinus), 1846 nucleotides. The record is from the annotation of a RefSeq genome assembly. NCBI's taxonomy places the organism in Eukaryota, Metazoa, Chordata, Mammalia, Dasyuromorphia, Dasyuridae.